This 497-nucleotide ribosomal RNA is filed under the name uncultured bacterium. Its description in RNAcentral is "partial 16S ribosomal RNA". It matches the Rfam family "Bacterial small subunit ribosomal RNA", at positions 28 to 507 of the family's 1533-position model. The record is from RNAcentral.
GAUGAACGCUGGCGGCGUGCCUAAUACAUGCAAGUCGAGCGAACAGAUAAUGAGCUUGCUCCUUUGACGUUAGCGGCGGACGGGUGAGUUACACGUGGAUAACCUACCUAUAAGACUGGGAUAACUUCGGGAAACCGGAGCUAAUACCGGAUAACAUAUUGAACCGCAUGGUUCAAUAGUGAAAGGCGGCUUUGCUGUCACUUAUAGAUGGAUCCGCGCCGUAUUAGCUAGUUGGUAAGGUAACGGCUUACCAAGGCAACGAUACGUAGCCGACCUGAGAGGGUGAUCGGCCACACUGGAACUGAGACACGGUCCAGACUCCUACGGGAGGCAGCAGUAGGGAAUCUUCCGCAAUGGGCGAAAGCCUGACGGAGCAACGCCGCGUGAGUGAUGAAGGUCUUCGGAUCGUAAAACUCUGUUAUCAGGGAAGAACAAAUGUGUAAGUAACUGUGCACAUCUUGACGGUACCUGAUCAGAAAGCCACGGCUAACUACGUG